GAGCUUCAUAUUCCGCUCCAUUGUUUGUUGCGGGGAACUCAAAACGCAGAGCAUACUCCGCGAUGAUUCCCUCUGGACUAACCAAGAUUAGGCCUGCACCCGCGCCUGACAUGUUGGAAGACCCGUCCACAUAGAGGGCCCAAAAGCGAUCAGAGGAAUCCGCUUCUUCUUUGGGGGAGUUCGGUUGGGACUUCAAGUCGUCAAUUUUGCUUUGUUCAGAUUUAGCCUCCUCUGGGAUAGUACACUCCACCAUGAAAUCUGUCAGUAUUUGGGCCUUCACUGCUGGCCUGGAUCGAUAGUUGAUGUCGAAUUCUAUGAUCUCGAUCGCCUACUUUGCCAUCCUUCCAGAGGCAUCCGCCCGAUGCAAAAUCGCUUUGAUCGGUUGAUC
This 388-nucleotide long non-coding RNA is filed under the name Elaeis guineensis (African oil palm). RNAcentral's name for it is "long non-coding RNA (EGUI_LNC067620)". The record is from RNAcentral. Lineage: Eukaryota; Viridiplantae; Streptophyta; Magnoliopsida; Arecales; Arecaceae.